GAGAGUAAUCCAAACUACUGUGCUAGUAUUAAUAAAUUAGAGUAAAUUAUGAAUGUCAUGUGCUUGUAAAAUGCUUUAAGCAUGGGCCCUGAAGCUGUAAACAAUGUACUUAAAUUUGAGGAAGAUGGUGAUACAAUUUGUGUUUCAAACCCAGGGAAAUACAGUCGAUAGCCCAGCCUCUAGGAGGUGUGACACCAGCGUUUGUUAAGAUGCUGCUCAGGAAAUGACCUUUUGACAGGAGUAGAUGGUUUUCAAUACAGGUACUGGGAUCCCCGAGAAAAGUGAAGUUCCUGGACCAGAUUUGCUCUCAGUCAAGCCAGGUGCAAUGAAGAGAGUGAAUCACUUUGUUACCCAGGAGUCUCCGUGGUGAGAGAAGCAGCUCCAUCCCUUCACCAAGGGACAGCUGGCCCCUCUGACCAUGCACAGCCCCAGUGUCAUUGACUGCAAGUCACCGCUUUUAACUCGAUUAAAUGCCUGUUGUGCUGAACAAACAGAUGAUGUGCAUCAGCAGUAAAGGCAGCCCAGUGACCUGGGUUGAAGUUCAGAGGAGUAGUUAAUACUGAGAUACUCUCAACAGUCUGAUCAUUGGUCUCUAUUAGGUAUUUAUCUGUCUCCUGGUUUCUUGUCUAUGAUGCACAAGGCAGGUGUUUAAGUUAAGGUUUGUGUGAUCAAUUCCAAAUGCAUGAUAUUUGACUUAAUUAGGAGAAAACCCUAAAUUAUGCCAAAGCUAAUCCAUACCUAACGCUCAGAUACUUGAUUACCAUGUCACUAAUUCUGCUAUUCUUGCUCUUGUGAUGGGGCUGCCUUUAUGACUUCUAUGAGCUCAGAUACUAAGAGAUUUCACCGAGGUCUUUUAUCUCAGUGUGAAUGAGAGGGCACUUAACAGAGCUGAGUAUCUGCAUGAGCUGGUGAGGCUCUUCUGACAGAGCUCCUCUGACGAGCAGCGUGGUGCAGACAUCCUGAACUGAUGCUGUAACAAGAGAAUUGUGCCCGAAUCCCCUAGGAAUUGGAUGGCUAUGAAAAGUGAUGUUCCCUCUCCAAGAGAACUUUAUAGCCUUAAGGCAGUCCUUCAUUUGUGGCAAAAGUGGAGUCUUUAACAUGGGAUCCAUUGGUUUUACAACCAACCAACCUGCUGCCCCAUGUGGAUUUAAUUGUGCUGUAAACUGUUGUGAAUUAGAUCACAUGCAGCAUCAGAGGCUUGCAGGUGGAGCUGCUCCUGGUGUGUUUAAGCCUGAUGUCAAAGGCCCUCAUCCAUAGUCCCUCUCCGGGUCUCUUGGAGCCCCUUUAGGUGCUGGAAGGACUCUGAGGUCUCCCUGGAGCCUUCCUUUGUCAGGCUGAGCACUCAGCUCCCUCAGCCUGGCUCCAGAGCACAGCUCCAGCCCUCAUAGCACCCUGAUGGCAUCAUCUGGACUCGCUCCAACAGAUCCACAUCCCUCUCACGUGGGAGCCCCAGAGCUGGAUGCAGCACUGCAGGUGGGGUCUCACACGAGUGGAGGAGAGAGGGAGAACCACCUCCACCAUCCUGCUGGUCAUGCUGCUCUUGAUGCAGCCCAGGACAAGGUCAGAGCUCUGGGCUGCAAACACACGUUGCCAGCUCAUGUUGAACUUCUUGUCAACCAACACCCGCAAAUCUCUCUCCUGGAUUACUUCUUCCUAAUAAAUGCUGUUCUUUAUAGCACUUCAAAGAGGCACAGAAAAAUAAGCAAUAAUUGGAAAUCUCACAUGUUAGUGUUGGAUGUGCUGGUUAAUGCCAUGAAAGUAAGAUAAUAUGCUGUGAUGGAGGAAAAACGCAGUCCACUCACAUUUUCCUGUUCUGUGGAGAGAUCAACACCCUAGUUAGGGAUUCUCAGUAAAUAGCUCAUAAUGUGACCAAACUAGCAACAGCUAAGUAUGCACUGGGACUUUUUCUCCAUGGAUGUACAUGUGGAAUUUGAAGCACUGCUCCACGACUCAGAGGUUUUUUCCUAACUGGAAAUAAUUGUCACAAAAAUAAUUCAUGUUCACUACCUGGAGGUUAGGCUUCAUUCUAUUAUACUGCAUAGCUCUAAAGGACACCUUUGCAAUGUCUCUGAUGCUUGAUCUCAGUUUUGAUUCUCAAUCAGCUCAUGCCUAGAAUGAAAAUGUUUAAAAAAUCUGAUAUAACUAUAAAUGAGUUACUUAUAAUAACAUAUUAAUUUUUAAAAUGGUGUCAUGCCAUGAACUGUUGGCUAAUUUCUGGACCUGAUUCAGUUGGCAUAGAGUUGAGAUGGAGAUGAAUACACUCCCUGGCUGGAAGGUUAGCAUGUUAAUUUUUUGGGUCAGCCAAGUUACUUUUCUCGCUGCAAAAGGGAUAAGAUAUGUGAGUAAUUGUAAUAGGAGCGUGACUGCAUAAAUUCAUAUUUUAUAAUAGAUUCCACUUUCCAAACCCUGAUUCAAUUCUUUGUAGCUUUCUAAAACUUCUCCAACUCCCUUUUACCAAAAGUCAUCUCUGCCAAAAAAUGAAUUAUUUCAAUAGCUCACAGAUUUGGGGGGAAUAUGACAAUUUGUACCUCUGGUUUGUUUUUCCCCUGUUCUUUUUAUAACAGCACCGUUAGCACCAAACCCUGCCGUUCU
Long non-coding RNA from Hirundo rustica (Barn swallow), 2592 nucleotides. RefSeq lists it as uncharacterized. The record is from RefSeq and is a predicted model, not a curated record. The transcript has 3 exons. Lineage: Eukaryota; Metazoa; Chordata; Aves; Passeriformes; Hirundinidae.